RNAcentral lists this ribosomal RNA (253 nucleotides) under uncultured bacterium. RNAcentral's name for it is "partial 16S ribosomal RNA". It matches the Rfam family "Bacterial small subunit ribosomal RNA", at positions 524 to 776 of the family's 1533-position model. The record is from RNAcentral.
UACGAAGGGGGCUAGCGUUGUUCGGAAUUACUGGGCGUAAAGCGCACGUAGGCGGACUAUUAAGUCAGGGGUGAAAUCCCGGGGCUCAACCUCGGAACUGCCUUUGAUACUGUUGGUCUUGAGUCCGGAAGAGGUGAGUGGAAUUCCUAGUGUAGAGGUGAAAUUCGUAGAUAUUAGGAAGAACACCGGUGGCGAAGGCGGCUCACUGGUCCGGUACUGACACUGAGGUGCGAAAGCGUGGGGAGCAAACAGG